Molecule: ribosomal RNA, 565 nt
Filed under: Rhinella margaritifera (mitred toad)
Lineage: Eukaryota; Metazoa; Chordata; Amphibia; Anura; Bufonidae
Description: partial 16S ribosomal RNA
Rfam family: Bacterial large subunit ribosomal RNA
Source: RNAcentral
CGCCUCUUGAGCUUUAUAAGAGGUCCAGCCUGCCCAGUGACUCUGUUCAACGGCCGCGGUAUCCUAACCGUGCGAAGGUAGCGUAAUCACUUGUUCUUUAAAUGUGGACUAGUAUGAAUGGCACUACGAGGGUUACACUGUCUCCUUUCUCUAAUCAGUGAAACUAAUUUUCCCGUGAAGAAGCGGGAAUGCGCCUAUAAGACGAGAAGACCCUAUGGAGCUUUAAACAAUCAGCAAUUACUUUUAAAAUCAAAAAUUUCAGAAUAUUCAUUUUUUUAAGUAACAUGACUGCAAGUUUUCGGUUGGGGUGACCAUGGAGAAUAACACAACCUCCACAUUGAACGAAUUUCAUUCUAAGCUAAAAAUGACCUAUUAAAGCAUCAACACACUGACAUCUAUUGACCCAAUAUAUUUGAUCAACGAACCAAGUUACCCUAGGGAUAACAGCGCAAUCCACUUCAAGAGCCCCUAUCGACAAGUGGGUUUACGACCUCGAUGUUGGAUCAGGGUAUCCCAGUGGCGCAGCCGCUACUAAAGGUUCGUUUGUUCAACGAUUAAAACCCUA